This 466-nucleotide ribosomal RNA is filed under the name uncultured bacterium. Its description in RNAcentral is "partial 16S ribosomal RNA". It matches the Rfam family "Bacterial small subunit ribosomal RNA", at positions 28 to 507 of the family's 1533-position model. The record is from RNAcentral.
GACGAACGCUGGCGGCGUGCUUAACACAUGCAAGUCGAACGGAAAGGCCCUGCUUUUGUGGGGUGCUCGAGUGGCGAACGGGUGAGUAACACGUGAGUAACCUGCCCUUGACUUUGGGAUAACUUCAGGAAACUGGGGCUAAUACCGGAUAGGAGCUCCUGCUGCAUGGUGGGGGUUGGAAAGUUUCGGCGGUUGGGGAUGGACUCGCGGCUUAUCAGCUUGUUGGUGGGGUAGUGGCUUACCAAGGCUUUGACGGGUAGCCGGCCUGAGGGUGACCGGCCACAUUGGGACUGAGAUACGGCCCAGACUCCUACGGGAGGCAGCAGUGGGGAAUAUUGCACAAUGGGCGGAAGCCUGAUGCAGCAACGCCGCGUGCGGGAUGAAGGCCUUCGGGUUGUAAACCGCUUUCGCCUGUGACGAAGCGUGAGUGACGGUAAUGGGUAAAGAAGCACCGGCUAACUACGUG